CAGCAGCCGCGGUAAAACCAGGGGUGCAAGCGUUAUUCGGAUUGAUUGGGUGUAAAGGGUGUGCAGACGGCUUAUUAAGUCACUUGUUAAAUUCUUCGGCCUAACUGAAGGUCUGCAAGUGAUACUGAUGAGCUAGAGGGUGGAAGAGAGAAGUGGAAUUCUCGGAGUAGCGGUAAAAUGCGUAGAUCUCGAGAGGAACACCAAUGGCGAAGGCAGCUUCUUGGUCCAUUCCUGACGUUCAUACACGAAAGCGUGGGGAGCAAACAGGAUUAGAUACCCCAGUAGUCCCUGUCUCUUAUAA
RNAcentral lists this ribosomal RNA (301 nucleotides) under uncultured bacterium. RNAcentral's name for it is "partial 16S ribosomal RNA". It matches the Rfam family "Bacterial small subunit ribosomal RNA", at positions 509 to 809 of the family's 1533-position model. The record is from RNAcentral.